UAUCUCUGUAGAGUCUGCAUAUCAAUAAGCGGAGGAAAAGAAACUAACAAGGAUUCCCUUAGUAACGGCGAGUGAAGCGGGAAGAGCUCAAAUUUGAAAUCUUCAAGGUUUUACCUUGACGAAUUGUAGUUUAAAGAAGUGUUUUCUGUUGAAGUUUCGGUAAAAGUUCUUUGGAAUAGGACAUCAUAGAGGGUGAGAAUCCCGUAUUUGACCGUUAUUUUCAGCUGUGUGAUACACUUUCAAAGAGUCGGAUUGUUUGGGAAUGCAGUCCAAAAUGGGUGGUAAAUUUCAUCUAAAGCUAAAUAUUGGCGAGAGACCGAUAGCGAACAAGUACCGUGAGGGAAAGAUGAAAAGAACUUUGAAAAGAGAGUUAAACAGUACGUGAAAUUGUCAAGAGGGAAGCGUUUGACACCAGUGUUGUUUUUCCAAAAAUCAAUUACGAAUGGCUUGAUUUUGUGUUGUAUUGACCUUAUUAGCUUUCUUCACUUUUUUCGAGUCUUUCUUAAUGCACUUUUCGGUUAACAAGUCAACAUCAAUUUCUUUUGUUGUAAAAGAGUCAUUGGAAGGUGGCUUUCACUUCGGUGAAAGUGUUUAUAGCCUUUGGCUUCUGCAAUCGGAGAGAUUGAGGUCUGCAGCGUAGAUCCUUCGGGGCUAGAUACGUAGAUGCUAAGUUAUAGUUUUUUAUAGACAACUUGUUGACUAUAAUUAAUCAUGUAGCUUACUCGUUUGCGCUAUUUUACCUACGCUUAGGAUGUUGAAGAUGUAGCACAUCAU
This 774-nucleotide ribosomal RNA is filed under the name uncultured Neocallimastigales. Its description in RNAcentral is "partial large subunit ribosomal RNA". It matches the Rfam family "Eukaryotic large subunit ribosomal RNA", at positions 24 to 643 of the family's 3401-position model. The record is from RNAcentral. Lineage: Eukaryota; Fungi; Neocallimastigomycota; Neocallimastigomycetes; Neocallimastigales.